Molecule: long non-coding RNA, 218 nt
Filed under: Olea europaea (common olive)
Lineage: Eukaryota; Viridiplantae; Streptophyta; Magnoliopsida; Lamiales; Oleaceae
Description: long non-coding RNA (OEUR_LNC001747)
Source: RNAcentral
UCCCCCUCUUGCUCACUCAUUCAUGCUAACAGCCUUGGUCCUAUUUAUAGACAUAGGAACCUAGAGAUAUACAAGAAAAUGUAUCUAAUAUUCAGUUAAAACUACUACCAGAAAUUUUUUUAGAAUCUAAGAGGCUCCAACUGAUUUUCUAACUCAUUAAACUGAUUUCUAACUAAAGAGUUUAACCAACCGAAUCAAGAGUCAAACAAUUUCUUUAC